GGGAAAGUAGUCUAGCUUGGUAUGAUUCUUGGUCCGGAACCAAGAUUUUGCUUUAACUAAAAGUGAAUUGGUAGAGGUCGGGGGUUCAAAUCCCCUCUUUCCCA
This 104-nucleotide transfer RNA is filed under the name marine sediment metagenome. RNAcentral's name for it is "tRNA-Pro". It matches the Rfam family "tRNA". From Rfam's summary of the family: Transfer RNA (tRNA) molecules are approximately 80 nucleotides in length. The record is from RNAcentral.